This 300-nucleotide ribosomal RNA is filed under the name uncultured Methanosalsum sp. Its description in RNAcentral is "bacterial SSU rRNA". The stretch from base 52 to 300 matches the Rfam family "Bacterial small subunit ribosomal RNA", at positions 547 to 795 of the family's 1533-position model. Lineage: Archaea; Methanobacteriati; Methanobacteriota; Methanomicrobia; Methanosarcinales; Methanosarcinaceae. The record is from RNAcentral.
GCGCACGUCGGGGCAGGAGCGGAGGGAAUGGGUAGGGUUGGACUGUUGGCCGGAGUGAUUGGGUUUGAAGGGUGCGGAGGCGGCCUUUUAAGGCAGCGGUGACAGAGCCCGGCUCAACCGGGGCAGGGCCGUUGAUACUGGAAGGCUUGAGUGUUGGAGGGGUACAUGGAAUUGAUGGUGUAGCGGUGAAAUGCAUAGAGACCAUCAGGAACACCGAUAGCGAAGGCAUUAUACUGGCCAACAACUGACGCUGAGGCACGAAAGCAUGGGUAGCGAACAGGAUUAGAUACCCUUGUAGUC